GAUGAACGCUGGCGGCGUGCCUAAUACAUGCAAGUCGAGCGAACGGACGAGAAGCUUGCUUCUCUGAUGUUAGCGGCGGACGGGUGAGUAACACGUGGAUAACCUACCUAUAAGACUGGGAUAACUUCGGGAAACCGGAGCUAAUACCGGAUAAUAUUUUGAACCGCAUGGUUCAAAAGUGAAAGACGGUCUUACUGUCACUUAUAGAUGGAUCCGCGCUGCAUUAGCUAGUUGGUAAGGUAACGGCUUACCAAGGCAACGAUGCAUAGCCGACCUGAGAGGGUGAUCGGCCACACUGGAACUGAGACACGGUCCAGACUCCUACGGGAGGCAGCAGUAGGGAAUCUUCCGCAAUGGGCGAAAGCCUGACGGAGCAACGCCGCGUGAGUGAUGAAGGUCUUCGGAUCGUAAAACUCUGUUAUUAGGGAAGAACAUAUGUGUAAGUAACUGUGCACAUCUUGACGGUACCUAAUCAGAAAGCCACGGCUAACUACGUGCCAGCAGCCGCGGUAAUACGUAGGUGGCAAGCGUUAUCCGGAAUUAUUGGGCGUAAAGCGCGCGUAGGCGGUUUUUUAAGUCUGAUGUGAAAGCCCACGGCUCAACCGUGGAGGGUCAUUGGAAACUGGAAAACUUGAGUGCAGAAGAGGAAAGUGGAAUUCCAUGUGUAGCGGUGAAAUGCGCAGAGAUAUGGAGGAACACCAGUGGCGAAGGCGACUUUCUGGUCUGUAACUGACGCUGAUGUGCGAAAGCGUGGAGAUCAAACAGGAUUAGAUACCCUGGUAGUCCACGCCGUAAACGAUGAGUGCUAAGUGUUAGGGGGUUUCCGCCCCUUAGUGCUGCAGCUAACGCAUUAAGCACUCCGCCUGGGGAGUACGACCGCAAGGUUGAAACUCAAAGGAAUUGACGGGGACCCGCACAAGCGGUGGAGCAUGUGGUUUAAUUCGAAGCAACGCGAAGAACCUUACCAAAUCUUGACAUCCUUUGACAACUCUAGAGAUAGAGCUUUCCCCUUCGGGGGACAAAGUGACAGGUGGUGCAUGGUUGUCGUCAGCUCGUGUCGUGAGAUGUUGGGUUAAGUCCCGCAACGAGCGCAACCCUUAAGCUUAGUUGCCAUCAUUAAGUUGGGCACUCUAAGUUGACUGCCGGUGACAAACCGGAGGAAGGUGGGGAUGACGUCAAAUCAUCAUGCNCCUUAUGAUUUGGGCUACACACGUGCUACAAUGGACAAUACAAAGGGCAGCGAAACCGCGAGGUCAAGCAAAUCCCAUAAAGUUGUUCUCAGUUCGGAUUGUAGUCUGCAACUCGACUACAUGAAGCUGGAAUCGCUAGUAAUCGUAGAUCAGCAUGCUACGGUGAAUACGUUCCCGGGUCUUGUACACACCGCCCGUCACACCACGAGAGUUUGUAACACCCGAAGCCGGUGGAGUAACCUUUUAGGAGCUAGCCGUCGAAGGUGGGACAAAUGAUUGGGGUG
Molecule: ribosomal RNA, 1474 nt
Filed under: Staphylococcus aureus
Lineage: Bacteria; Bacillati; Bacillota; Bacilli; Caryophanales; Staphylococcaceae
Description: partial 16S ribosomal RNA
Rfam family: Bacterial small subunit ribosomal RNA
Source: RNAcentral